CUGGUUUCACUUGCACUCAAACCACGUACAUCAGUGCUUCUCUCCAUUUUUUUGAGUGUUGGCACGCUGUCACCAAAACAACCACCACGUCCUGCAUUGACAACGUAUUUUCCUGUUACUUCCUUGUUUACACUUGUAUUUAGCGCUGUCCACCUGUGAUCCGAUCGCCCAAGACACAUUUUAAAACCGAGUGUAAAUAGGGUCAAAGACACACAAUAUAAUUUAAAUACGACAAUACAUACAAUCAAUGACACAAUUCCUUAAAAACAAAGAACAAACAGAAGUUUCCUAUGCUAGUUGAUGCCUGGAUGUUUGUCAGUCUUACUGCAUGAGUGCAGAUGCUUCCGUAUGGUGCAGGGUUGUCCAAGGAAACUCUUGUCUUAGGCACCUGCUGUGAAUCGGUUACGCUGUAGAAAAGCCGGCCCUCAUCUUGGUUCUCUUUAGUCGCUUUUCCACUGCAAGGUACCGGCUCAACUCGACUUGACUCGACUCUACUCAACUUUUUUGGUUUUCCAUCGGGCAAAAGUUGUGGAUAGUACCUGGUACUUUUUUUGGUACCACCUCUGUCGAGGUUCCAAGCGAGCUGAGACGAUACCGAAAGGUGACGUGAAAAAACUGCAGACAACUGAUUGGUCAGAGAGAAUCGUCACUAGAAUCAUCACUGCAUCCAGCAACCAGAGUCGCCUUGUCGUCUGAGCUCUGAUGUAGGAUUUCCCAAACUCUCCUGUUUUUUUCAGCAGUCUUCUGUCUUACUGCCUUCAGCCUCUUCUGAAACAAAAUUUGUCUCCUUACUGUGAGAAACAGCCACAUACUGAGAAUGAAGAACAUCAUCCCUUUGAUAUCCUCCAUUGUUCCUGUGUGCGUCGCGUUGAAGAUGACGUCACGGCCGUUUCACGCGGCGUCGCUAUGAUGACCAGCUACAUUGACCAUCUACAUUGACGGGGAUACUAUCUGCAGUGGAAAACGAAGUACCUGGUACCAAAAGCGAGUUGAGUCGAGUCGAGUUGAGCCGGUACCAUGCGGUGGAAAAGUGGCAUUCAUCCUGGAGCUGGAAGUUACUUUUGCUUUCCGUUGCUGGAAAGUACAUAGACUAUACGCGUUCAACUUGUUGCUAUGUUGCAGAAUGAUAGCAAGUGUAAAGUUGGUAAACAAAUUGAUCCCUUGAUGGAUCAGUUUCCUUAGCUUACAUGCAGUAUAGCUAAAACGUUUACUUUUAGUUACAAAUGCUGGUCGUACCUGUCACCCGAGAGAGCUAGUGCAUCUCUCCACAUGUUCCUUUACAGGCAGGUCUUAGGCCUGUGUCCUUAGAUAGUGCCUUGUGCACCUCUCUUCAGUUCAGCAGCAAACAGCAGAAGGGGCUAGGAGAGACAGGAAUGCACAUUUUACAGGCAGCGACAGGAAGUAUCCAGUCCCUGUCAUCAAGGUCUGUGAUCCUGUGAUUGUGAAGUGAUGUCAUUGCACCAAAAUAAUGCCCAGUCCUUACAAUAGUGAGGAGAAAAAUGUAGACCUAUUUUCUCUUUAUGUUGUACAAGUGCAAAGCAGAUAUUGUUUAUGCUGUGCAAUGUUAAUGUGCUGUCAAUGUGGGAAAGUAGUGAUAAAAAGGUAAUUCAUGUGAAUUGAAAUAUUACAGAUGAAUAUGUUGUUAUUUCAGAGAAAGUGUUUAUUUGCUGGGUAGAUUUGUAUAUACAGGGGUGCCUGAUUGUAUUUAGGCAUGUCUUGUGACGUAAUGGUUGCAGAUACGACUAAAUAAAUGUAUGAUUACUGAAAGCAAUGUUUGUAAUGCAAACUAUAAUAAAAAUAUAACGUGUAAGAAAUGUGGAAGGAGGAAGCAGAUAGACAGUUUUUCAUACUGUGUUAUUUUACAGGUUGUUUACAAUGGAGCAGGAGCAUCAAGUCCAACUGGAAAAGCAAAUGAUACUGGAUCAUCAUCACUUUGAAGGUCUUGGCAUUCUACAGUAAGGGACAUCAUGUAACAAGGAGGGGACAUGCCUGCCGAAGACAGUGUACAGACAGUUCUGGAUGGAUAAACUUGACAGUAUGGGAACAAAGUUGGACCUUGGGAAAUUGAAGGGUGCGUCCAUUUAGCAAUUUCAGGGACACAAAGCACUCUGAUGAAGUGAUGACUGAUGAAGAUGCGGAAGCUGUAGUUAUGCAAGGAGAAGUUGUGGGUGCCGAUUUAGGGAAUGUGAAUGAGUGCAGCUAGCUAUGUACAUUUGUGCAAACUGAAUAUACAAUUUUGCAUUGUCCUUAUGAUUCUACACUGUAAAUAUGGUUUUAAAUGAAAACUAUAUUUUGAACAAGUCACACAUGCAGUUUCUGUUAAAGCAGUUAGCUGUAUGUGUGUAUGCAUGCAUACAGACGAGUAUUGUAGAUAAGAAUGAGCCAAGGGUUAAAAACUUUUUAGUAUUUUGUGCUGUAGGUAAUACCAUUUAAGGAAGUAAUGUAACAAAUCUGUUAUUUUUUAGAUGCCAUGUACAUUUGAGGCCAAAAGUUUACAUACACCUAGGUUAAAGACAUUCCAACUCAAUUUUUCACAAAUCCACAGAUUUCAUGUUACCAUACAUUUCCUAUGUUUAGUCAAUUAGGGUAUCUAAUUAAUAGCUAAAUUAAUUAAAUCUAAUUAAUAUGUAAAUAAUAGCUAAGAGACAGAUUUAUUUCAGCUUUUAUGUACUAUAUCAGAUUUUCAGUGGGUCAGAAGUUUACAUACACUUUGUUAGUAUUUGGUGGCAUUGCCUUUUAAUUGCUUAACUUGAACCAAACGCCUGGGGUACCCUCCUACAAGCUUCUCACAAUACUUUGCCGAAGUUUUUGCCUAUUCCUCUGGACAGAACUGGUGUAACUCAGUCAGGUUUGGAUGCCUCUUUGCUUGGACAUGCUUUUUCAGUUCAGUCCACAAAUAUUCUAUGGGAUUCAGGUCAGGGCUUUGUGAUGGCCACUCCAAUACUUUCACUUUAUUGUCUUUAAGCCAUUUUGUUACAAAUUUGGAGGUAUGCUUAGGAUCAUUGUCCUGCUGGAAGACCCAGUUGUGGCCCAGUUUUAACUUUCUAGCUGAUGUCUUGAGGUGUUGCUUCAGUAUUUCUAGAUAAUCCUCCUUCCUCAUGAUACCAUCUAUUUUCUGAAAAAUAGAAAAGGGAAGUACACCAGUCCCUUUUCCAGCAAAACACCCCCACAACCUGAUGCUGCCACCCCCAUAUUUCACAGUUGAGAUGGUGUUCUUUAGAUUAAAAUUCUCAUCCGUUUUCCUCCAUACAUAGCACUGAUCAUUAUGGCCAAAUAGUUUAAUUUGUGUUUCAUCUGACCAGAGAACACUCCUCCAAAUGGCUAGGUCUUCGUCCUGGUCUUGGAGUAGGGGCUUCUUCCUUGCAUGACCACCGUUCAGGCCAUGGCGAUGUAGGAUUCUCUUAAUGAUGGAUGUAGAUAGUUUGGUACCUGAUGCCUCCAACUCCUUUACAAUUUCCUUUUUUGUUGUCUUGGGGUUCAGUUGAACCUUUUGGACUAAAGUUCAUUCAGCCCUGGGAGUUCAAUUGCGUCUCCUUUGUGAACAAUGCAGUGUCUGUGUGGUCCCAAGAUUUUUAUAUUUACAUACAAUUGUUUGUACAAAUUCUCGUGGUACCUUCAGUUGUUCGGAAAUUGCUUCUAAGGAGGAACCUGACUUGUGGAGUUCCACAUUUUUUUUUCUGAGUUCUUGGAUUUUCCCAUUGUAUCAAGGGCAAAAAGGCAGUGGCUCUAAAGGUCGACCCGUAAAUACAGCCACAGGUGCUAGUGAACUAUGACAAUUGGUCCAUCAAAAGCUUCUAAAAAGUCAUCACAUCUAUUUAUGGAAUCUUUCAGACUUUUUAAAGAGACAUGGUGUAUGUAAACUUUUGACGCACUGGAAUUCUGAUAUAGUGUAUUAAAGCUGAAAUAAAUCUGUCUCUAAUUGAUUGUUUUAAAAUGACCUCUGAUGUGAACAAAGUAGAUGCCCAAAUUGACUUGCCAAAAGAAAUGUAUGGUAACAUGAAAUGUGCGGAGUUGUGAAAAACUGAGUUUGAAUAUCUUUAGCCUAGGUGUAUAUGAACUUUUGGCCUCAACUGUGUAUAAAUGGUUCACACACUUAGAACAUGGUCUGUACACUACUUCCUGCUGUAUUUAUGAAAUGUGUGGCAUUGCUCUUAACAGGAGCAAUUUUACACAUUUCAUAUACAUAUAAGCAGUGAUGUUCAUCACUUUUGACCAUAUCCUUCUAAGAAAAGAAAAACCGGAGCCCAUACUCAUAACAAAAAUUUUUAAAAAACUUUAAUAUAUCAUAAAUAUCUGGGCAACAAACUUGUUUCAGACUCAGCUGUCCUCAGUGUCUCAAUGCUCUCAAUUGAUUGUAGUCUAAGCUUUCUAAAUCCAUAAAUGACCUCCCUACGGUUCCUAGCUAUUCCUAGCCAGCAUGACCUGAUCUCAAGCAAAAUGCACUGUUCUGAAAGGUGAUUGCAGCUAGAUAAUAUAAUUCACUGAAUUUAUCUGCUUGCUUUGAUAAUAAUCCAAGCAGUACAAGGUGAAAAUGAUUAAAGAUGUCAUUGUGCUUUA
This is a long non-coding RNA of Anguilla rostrata (American eel), 4557 nucleotides long. RefSeq lists it as uncharacterized. Lineage: Eukaryota; Metazoa; Chordata; Actinopteri; Anguilliformes; Anguillidae. The transcript has 2 exons. The record is from RefSeq and is a predicted model, not a curated record.